GACAUAUUUUUGUGAAUUUUUUCAUAAUUUUUAGACUAAAACAAAAUUAAUAUGAAUUUCUAAAGUUAAAACUAAUUAAAAUAAAACAGAGUAGAUCUCAGCCAUCUGAUCUGGUCAACUUCAACACAGUAUUGACAUCGGAAGGUCCAGAUCAGAAGUACAUAGUAAGUACAAUAAGCAAAAGUAUAGAGAAUCAACUUUUAGAUCAUCUUCUCAGGUGAAGACAAGUGGAUCCGAUGGCCACUUGUCAUCACCGCAUACGCUGGCGCGGAUCACAAGGUAAGAAAGAGGAGACAUCAGAAUUUUUUAGAACAAAUCUUCCUUAUCAAAGUACCAACGUUACUAUUAUUUAAAAAAGGGAAAAGAAGAAGAAAAAACCAUUAAAUAAUAUGAUACAUUGAUGAUAAGAGAUAUGCCAGGAUUAUGAAAAGAACAAAAUGUCCUCACGUGAAAGCCAACAUCCAUAGUCAUUAUCAAUGUUCAUUUAUUUUUGUAAUAAGAAAAUAAAAAGUAUCACCUCUCCCUUAUAAACAAAAGCAACCAAAAUAUUUAAAGAAAAAGUGGAUUGAAUAACAGACAAUGAAAAACAAAAGGGGCGGUGAUCAUGAAGAAACGCACAGCGGAGUACGGCGGCUCAGCUAAAGCUUCACGGCGGCCGGAAAAAACAAGUUUCCAGAAACGUUAAAGAGCUACAUCAUUCUACUCAGUUUCUUCUCCUUGUUUCAAAUCCGAGAUUAGUUUUAUCAGAAAAUAAAUUCACAAGCACAGAUCUAAAGAGAAAGUGCUUGUGAUUUUUGUUCUAAACACAAGUAAAUAUCACAGAAAUUAGCAAUCAAAGGAUGGAAUCGUUAUCAGAGAGUAACUCUCAACCUUUUGAGGCAAAGAAGUCAAAGAACGGUGGCGAUUUGGAACUCCGGUGCGGUGGUUGCGAUUUCCGGCGGUGGUCCGGUGAGAAUAGGGGCGGAUUCCGGCGAGGGAGUUCAGAAAAGCAUGGAUGAAAUCUUGAAGAUUAUGGAGCUUGGAAGAUUCAAAGGAAGACAUAAGCAUGGACAUGGAGAAAUAUUGAAGAAAAUGGUGUGGACUUAAUAUUUUGAAUUUUUUCUUGAGUAAACAUAAUGAUGUAACUUUGAGAAUCCGUCCACCUUGUAAUAUGGAAUGAGUUGUGAACUUGAA
This is a long non-coding RNA of Vicia villosa (hairy vetch), 1173 nucleotides long. RefSeq lists it as uncharacterized. The record is from RefSeq and is a predicted model, not a curated record. The transcript has 2 exons. NCBI's taxonomy places the organism in Eukaryota, Viridiplantae, Streptophyta, Magnoliopsida, Fabales, Fabaceae.